This 73-nucleotide transfer RNA is filed under the name Bacteroidota bacterium. RNAcentral describes it as "Bacteroidetes bacterium tRNA-Gly". It matches the Rfam family "tRNA". Rfam says of the family: Transfer RNA (tRNA) molecules are approximately 80 nucleotides in length. The record is from RNAcentral. Lineage: Bacteria; Pseudomonadati; Bacteroidota. RNAcentral also lists the same sequence under 2 other names.
GCGGAAGUAGCUCACCCGGUAGAGCGAUAGCUUCCCAAGCUAUAGGUAGCGGGUUCGAGUCCCGUCUUCCGCU